RNAcentral lists this non-coding RNA (461 nucleotides) under Pongo abelii (Sumatran orangutan). Lineage: Eukaryota; Metazoa; Chordata; Mammalia; Primates; Hominidae. The record is from RNAcentral.
CGCCGCCAUCUUUUCUCCCCUCAGCCCGCCAGCCCCGCGGCCGGGACCCGCCACCGAAUGACGGCCCCCGCGCGCGGCCAAUCCGCGAAGCCGCGCCUGCGCACCAGAGGCGGGCGGGCGGGAGCGGGCGGAGGGCGGGGAAUGAAUCUAAGCCUCCUGAGACAGUGCCUCCUGCUGCCUGAACGAGAACUGCACCUUUCUCUGCAAGGAUCACUGGAUUUACGUGAAAACUGAGCCCCAGACAGGUUAAGGGGCUUUCCUAAAGUUGCACAAAUGGCUUCUACUCACCAGAGGAUCUGCGUCCAGAGAACUUGGGGUGCUGUCUUUGACUGUCCUAUCCUCGGGAGGUGCAGUGGCUCACACCUGUAAUCCCAGCAUUUAGGGAGGCCAAGGCGGGCAGAUCACUUGAGGUCAGAAGUUCAAGACCAGCCUGGCCAACGUGAUGAAACCCUGUUUCUACU